GCUUAACACAUGCAAGUCGAACGGAAAGGCCCUUCGGGGUACUCGAGUGGCGAACGGGUGAGUAACACGUGGGUGAUCUGCCUCGUACUUUGGGAUAAGCCUGGGAAACUGGGUCUAAUACCGAAUAUGACCUCUGGAUGCAUGUCUGGUGGUGGAAAGUUUUUCGGUACGAGAUGGGCCCGCGGCCUAUCAGCUUGUUGGUGGGGUAAUGGCCUACCAAGGCGACGACGGGUAGCCGGCCUGAGAGGGCGACCGGCCACACUGGGACUGAGACACGGCCCAGACUCCUACGGGAGGCAGCAGUGGGGAAUAUUGCACAAUGGGCGCAAGCCUGAUGCAGCGACGCCGCGUGAGGGAUGACGGCCUUCGGGUUGUAAACCUCUUUCACCAGGGACGAAGAGUGAUUGACGGUACCUGGAGAAGAAGCACCGGCCAACUACGUGCCAGCAGCCGCGGUAAUACGUAGGGUGCGAGCGUUGUCCGGAAUUACUGGGCGUAAAGAGCUCGUAGGCGGUUUGUCGCGUCGUUCGUGAAAUCUUGAUGCUUAACAUCAAGCGUGCGGGCGAUACGGGCAGACUUGAGUACUACAGGGGAGACUGGAAUUCCUGGUGUAGCGGUGAAAUGCGCAGAUAUCAGGAGGAACACCGGUGGCGAAGGCGGGUCUCUGGGUAGUAACUGACGCUGAGGAGCGAAAGCGUGGGUAGCGAACAGGAUUAGAUACCCUGGUAGUCCACGCCGUAAACGGUGGGUACUAGGUGUGGGUUCCUUUUC
This 771-nucleotide ribosomal RNA is filed under the name Williamsia sp. Its description in RNAcentral is "bacterial SSU rRNA". It matches the Rfam family "Bacterial small subunit ribosomal RNA", at positions 46 to 835 of the family's 1533-position model. Lineage: Bacteria; Bacillati; Actinomycetota; Actinomycetes; Mycobacteriales; Nocardiaceae. The record is from RNAcentral.